Pezoporus occidentalis (night parrot) is the source of this 1328-nucleotide long non-coding RNA. RefSeq lists it as uncharacterized. The transcript has 7 exons. The record is from RefSeq and is a predicted model, not a curated record. Lineage: Eukaryota; Metazoa; Chordata; Aves; Psittaciformes; Psittacidae.
UUUGCUAGACCCAUUCUCCAAGGAGGAAAGCUUUUCGGCAGCUGCUUUCUUUGCUUCUAGCUUCCUUUGCCGACAUGUCUUAACGGGCUCUGCCAACAUCCUUACUUUUCGGCGAAAGGAGAAUGUCUCUUAGAUACGUGGACAGAUAACCACAGCUCGUGGGCACACGGCCACAGUUUCCUCCGUGAGGCUCCAAACAUUGUCUGAUCAGCUCCAAUUUCAGCACCAGGAUGAUUCAAACAUACAUUUUGACUGGCAGGCACCUAUAUGAACCAACCAUGUAGGUUGCAACUAAAUCCCUUCUGAGAGUUGCCAGCUAAUCUUUCUUCUCAGCUCCUUACUGAUAAAAAUAUCCUCAGAUCAUGACCUCAACUGACUUGUGCUCAAUCAUUUACCAGGAUGAGACUUAAGAAAGCAGAAGUCAGAUACCUGGGAGCUUGUAGAUAGCUCACUGGGUUGUUCCUGGCAUGCUGCCACAGCCUCCAUCCUGCUGGCACCCUUCUGCCACCGCUAGAUGACACAGAGGUCUAAAUUGCUCCCAGACUUGUAGCACUUUUGAGACAGGAGUUUGUGCCUUGUACAACUUACAAGUCAAACCAAUUGCUCAUAAAUACAUGGGAAAAACAGGUUUGUCAGGGGCCUGAGGAUGUGAGUGCCCUGUUUCUCAGCUCUAGGGCAGCAGCAGCCAGACCUGUACCAGUCCACUCCAACUUGUUUCCAAAGCACUCAAGGAGAUCCUGAACAGAGGUCACCCUGCUCCUCUGUGAUAGCAGCACUUCAAGCAACGUGGCUGCUGCUGCUAGCUGAAGGGCUCACCAGCACAUUGCAGGAAGCCCCAGCAGUACACAGAUUCAGAUCUUCACCCGAUAGAUAAUUUUAUGUGGUCUGCAGAAGAAUAAGGCUUUGUCAGAAUGAGAUGAUAGCUGACUUUGUUUGGGAGGGGGAGAGGAGGGAGAAGGGUGUUUUCUCAAUUUCUGUGUAUUUCUAUUCAGCUGCUGCAGAAACAUCCCCAUCUGCUUUGAAUCUACAUUUUCAUUCCAAACCCAAGCAAGAAAUGAAGCAAGCUGGUUUGCUCUGCCUGGCAAAGUACACGCAUAGCAAGUUGCUGAGCUGAAAGCUGUUCCAAAAUCCAGGAAUGUAACAGACUUAAAAGCCAAGUUACCUGGCUUUGUGCUCUGCUUAACUGUAUGAUGAUGAUAAUCAGAAAAUGAGUUUCAUCAGUAUGACCUUCACAUGUUGUCACUUACUGAGGAGUACAAGAGUACGUGCUUUCUUUGUUAUCUGUUGUCUGGACAAAUUGGUUUGAGGAAGUGACAGCAUAAAUAAGA